GCAGUAGCCACGGUAAUACGUAGGUCCCGAGCGUUGUCCGGAUUUAUUGGGCGUAAAGGGAGCGCAGGCGGCUUAGUAAGUCUGAAGUUAAAGGCAUUGGCUCAACCAAUGUAUGCUUUGGAAACUGUUAGACUUGAGUGCAGAAGGGGAGAGUGGAAUUCCAUGUGUAGCGGUGAAAUGCGUAGAUAUAUGGAGGAGCACCGGUGGCGAAAGCGGCUCUCUGGUCUGUCACUGACGCUGAGGCUCGAAAGCGUGGGUAGCGAACAGGAUUAGAGACCCCAGUAGUCCCUGUCUCUUAUACA
This 302-nucleotide ribosomal RNA is filed under the name uncultured bacterium. RNAcentral describes it as "partial 16S ribosomal RNA". It matches the Rfam family "Bacterial small subunit ribosomal RNA", at positions 508 to 808 of the family's 1533-position model. The record is from RNAcentral.